RNAcentral lists this ribosomal RNA (253 nucleotides) under Faecalibacterium prausnitzii. RNAcentral's name for it is "partial 16S ribosomal RNA". It matches the Rfam family "Bacterial small subunit ribosomal RNA", at positions 524 to 776 of the family's 1533-position model. Lineage: Bacteria; Bacillati; Bacillota; Clostridia; Eubacteriales; Oscillospiraceae. The record is from RNAcentral.
AACGUAGGUCACAAGCGUUGUCCGGAAUUACUGGGUGUAAAGGGAGCGCAGGCGGGAAGACAAGUUGGAAGUGAAAUUUAUGGGCUCAACCCAUAAACUGCUUUCAAAACUGUUUUUCUUGAGUAGUGCAGAGGUAGGCGGAAUUCCCGGUGUAGCGGUGGAAUGCGUAGAUAUCGGGAGGAACACCAGUGGCGAAGGCGGCCUACUGGGCACCAACUGACGCUGAGGCUCGAAAGUGUGGGUAGCAAACAGG